Molecule: long non-coding RNA, 355 nt
Organism: Stegodyphus dumicola
Lineage: Eukaryota; Metazoa; Arthropoda; Arachnida; Araneae; Eresidae
Source: RefSeq, a predicted model, not a curated record
AGGAGGAGACGGGCAAAAAUCCAAUGAAAUACGGCGAAUUCGUUGGAAUUCAGUCAUUUAGAAGCUGCUGUCUACCUAACUUGUCGAUGUGUGUCGACAACCCAGAUGACUGUUUGUAAAGUAUGUCUACAUCUGCAUCUAUUUAUUUGGCAACCAAAGGCACCAUAGACAGAACUAAUACCAUAUGUUUUCAGUUAUUUUUCUCUUAUAUAUUAAAACUUAACCUUACUUCCUUACUUAUUUAAUUUAAAGCCAUCGGAAAUUAUUUUAUUAUAAUUCACCUUCUUAUAUUGCCCUUAGAUUGAAAUAAUUAGCUUGCUUCUCAAUAUAAAUAAAACUUGAGUAUCGUAAAUAA